This is a long non-coding RNA of Carassius auratus (goldfish), 416 nucleotides long. RefSeq lists it as uncharacterized. The record is from RefSeq and is a predicted model, not a curated record. The transcript has 2 exons. Lineage: Eukaryota; Metazoa; Chordata; Actinopteri; Cypriniformes; Cyprinidae.
AGAUCAGAUAAAUGUGUAAUAUGACACAUUUGCUUUUAACUAUUUUAUUGUAAUAUCAGUUUGAUUAUUUUGAUGGUACAUUUCAGACAGCUGUUAAGGGGACCAUCAAUGGCCGAGGACACACACACAUGAUGGAGACAGGAAGACGCUGGAGAUCGCUGGAGAGAGAUGCAUCACAUCCUACAACCUUAUCAUCAUGCAGAGAAACUGACACUCACUCACACCAAAACAAUUGACUUUAAAGGCAUCAAAGAGGAUUGUGAAGAUAUUUCACUGGAACUUCACAUCUAUUUUUGUUUUUUUUUAUUUUGUGUUUUACUUCUAUCUGUAUUUAUUAAUGUUUAAUGUCAGUUCUCAUUUAUGAAUGUAUUGGGCUAAUAAUGUAUUGGCAUGUCAAUAAAAAAGUAUCCACACUA